Non-coding RNA from Myodes glareolus (Bank vole), 5936 nucleotides. Lineage: Eukaryota; Metazoa; Chordata; Mammalia; Rodentia; Cricetidae. The record is from RefSeq and is a predicted model, not a curated record.
UACACAGAGAAACCCUAUCUCAAAAAAGCAAGAGGGAGAGGUAAACAAAUACAUUUAAAUAUAUACUUAAAAGUCAUGAAUGAAGGCUGUGGGAGCCCACAGUAGAGAAAACUGGCUACUCUGCAGCCUUCUCUAGAAGAAAGUCAUUCUCUGCUGGCAGUGGAGAGACCGUGGAUUGCACAUUUCAUAUAUGCUCUCCUGGAGUAUUUCAUAGUAGUCGAAGACAUGUAUAAGCAGCAACAUGACACACCCAAGGCCACACAAAUAUUAAAUGACAAAGCUGUUACUUGAACCCAAGCAUCUCUAGCUGUAAGACAGGCUAGGAAAUCCACUCUUGACUGUGCAUCACUGCCCAAAAUAGAAUUGGGGUGCCGCUAUUAAGGACCGGAUAUUGAGUGCAGCAGGUACUCUUCAUCACAAUGCUUCACUUGAAUCAGUUGUAAAGGUAAACUUUCUGGGGACUGGGGCUGCCAGGAAUUGAACUGAGGUCAUCACACGUGGUAGGCAAGCAUUCAACCACUGGAGCAACCUUUCCGCCCUUAUAAAUGCACUCAGUGUUUGAAACAGGAUUAUCUUUUUAUUUUUAAGCCGUUCACAAUUGCAUACACAUAAUACAUGUUGAUCAUGACCCUACAUUAUCCUCUCUUAUUAACCUCUCUGGUGUCUUCCAUUCACCAGCCUUUUUUCUUCCCAACAAGUCCUCUUCCUACCUCCCUGUCUUUUUGUAUGCGUACUCCUCUGUAUUGAAUUGGGGUUGCUUCCAUGAGCCUGUGUGGAUGGUUACUUGAGCAAGGGCAAUUUACCCUUGGCUCCACCAGAGAGAGAUGACACUCCUUCAGGGGGGGGGUGGUAAGAGCCUAAUGAUACCCCCCAAUCCAUGAUGGAAUGUUGAUGGAACCAGGCUUGUGCAUGAGCCCCCUGCGGCUGUGAGUUGAGACAGGGUUUUCUAAAACUUUUCUUCGUUUCUACAGUUUUCUUUGACCACAGAGCACUGAUCACUGAGUGUUAACCCUAGGAUGUUUGUUUCACUUCUGCUGUUUUCUUGCUUUUUUUCCCUUUUGUGAAACAGUCUCAUUCUCUAGCCCGGGAGCUCCUCAAAUGUGCCACCACACUUUGCUGGGCAUAGAACACAUGUCUUAGAUCUCUGCAUAUUCUGCUUGAAGACUUAAGUGUAAGGCUCCGUGAUCUCCUUUAAGGAUCUCUCCGUGGGACUCCUGUCACUUUGUUUUCUGUUUGGGUGCUUCUGCCAGAAAGCAGGGACCUCAGAAGUCUCUGCCAUCUACUUCACGAAACUGUUCACAUUUUAGCUAAGUUGCAUGAGAUCAAAAUGAGGUAAAAAGGGGGAUUUGUGGGGCUGUGGCAGUUCCAAUUGGGGGAGGAAUUGUUUCUUUUCUUUAGUGUUUUCCUUUUGCAUCCUAAGGGAUAAGGCUGCUUCCCCUGCCCCCGCUGCACAGCACAGGACUGCGUGGGAUUUAGGGUGCCAGAGGGUGAGAUAAGACAAGAAAAGUCACCGGAGAACUUUUGCACUCUCUCCAAGCAUUAAGGGACCUCUUUUCACUAUCAGUGGUGGCAUACACAUUAAAUCCCAACACUUGGGAGGCAGAGGUAGGCAGAUCUCUGAGUUCGAGGCCAGAUGGUGUACAGAGCAAGUCCCAUGACACACGUGCGCGUGCGCGCACACACACACGCACACACACACACACAGAUACAGAGAGAGAGAGAAUCCAAGCUGGGGAGCACUGCCCAGAGGAGAGUAGACUCACCAAUGGUGAGACUUUGCGCUCCAGUCUUUCCUAAUCUACUACUCUGCUUUUCCAUAAUCUUCAAAUAAGUCAGAUUUCAGAGCUGCACUCAAACAGCAUAAAAUCUGUUCACCCAGAACUGAAAUCCCUGACUGUCAUUGCUACAUUUAUUGAUUGAAUGGUUUGCUGGAAAUACCAGGGAUUGAUCCAAGACCUUGUGCAUACUACCUACACAAGCUGAGUACUGCUGAGUUAUGCCCCCAGCCCUCUUACUGUCAUUUUAAAAAGAAUUGCUUGGAUUUGGGGAUGGAACUCAGUGAUAGAGUGCUCACCUAGUCCAUAUAAGUCUCUGGGUUCCAUGCCCAAAAUCCUAAGGAAAUAAAAAUAAUUACUACUUAAGAUGGUUGGCAGUCAUCUCAGAAAUAAACACAGCGAUGGUCUCUCUGUCACAAAUGCCACCUUUUAUAGUUACUGACAAAUAACAUCUGGAUUCUUCCCAGAAGACCUGGUUGUGUUCCCUUGGGAAUCUCUAGGACAUUUUGGUGUGGAGAUAAUGGUAGAAGUGGAGAGGGGAUGAACUACAAAAACAAGGUUGUCAAAAGUCUGUGAAGGAGUUUUCUUUUAAUCAGAGCUUUGUGGGAGUCUUUCCCCUCUUUUGGAAGCCAAGCUAUUUUUGAUAUGAGUGAAAUACUGACACGAACUCAUUAUAUCCUCGAGAUGCACAGAGAAGCAGCCCUGGCUAAGUGAGCUGAACAAUUUCCAGUGCCCUAUCAGUCACCAGGUCUCUUUGGAGCUCAUGAAAACUCACUGGUGUGGCCCCAGUUUUCAGAAUCAUCGAAGACCAUUUUGAGCAAGUCACAUCACCUCUCUGUGCUUCUGCAUCUUGAAAAUGUGUUUCUGAGGGUGAGGCUGGUGAGAUGGUCUGGUGGAUAAAGGUGCUCGAUGUCAAGCCUGAAGACCUGAAUUUAAUCCCUGGGUCUCACAUGGUGGAAGAAAACAACUGACUCCCAAAAGGUGUCAUCUGACUUCCAUGUGCAUGCCAUAGCAACACCCUCCCCACACAUGUACACACCAACAAAAUUAAUGUUAAAAAAAUUUAGAACUAGGGAGGGAAACGUAGGGGGGGAUAGAAGAGGAAUUGGAGGAGUAGGAAUGGGGGUGAUUUGAUCAAAAUGGACUACAUGCCUAUGUAAUUCUCCAACAACAAAAAGAUAAAUGUAAAAAAUUUAAAUAAAAUAAUCUAUUUUAUCUGUAUUUAUCUGAAAUUCUGCUGAAGAAAGCAAAUUCAUAAGUAUGAAGGAAAUAACAAGGGUUCAAUAAACAGUAAUGUUCAUACUUUUAUUUUUAAUUUGCCAAGUGUUUGGCUUUAAAUUCUACUUUAUUUAUAUGUGUAUGUGCAAUUGUAUGUAUGCUUCUAAAUGACUACAUACAUGCACUUGUGUGUGUGAGUGUCCCAAGAUGCCAAAAGGAGGUGUUAGAUUCCCUGGAGCUAGAGUUAUGGACAGUUGUAAGCUGUCAAAAGUGGUUCUGGGACCUCUGAAUUUAGGUCAUUUAGAAGGACCUUAAAAGCACUUUUAACCCUGAAUCACUUUUCCAGUUCCUAUUCUUUUAUUUUUAAUUUUUGCUGUACUGGGGUGUCUCAAGGUUUCUGUUGUUAUGAAGAGACACCAUGACCACGGCAACUCUUAUAGAGGAAAACUUUUAAUUGGGGUGGCUUGUUUAUAGUUCCGAGAUUCCCCCUUUAUAAUCAUGGCAGGGAGCAUGGCAGUGUACAGGCAGAUGUGGUGCUGACUACAUCUUGAUCAGGAGGCAACAGGAAGUGGACUGUGACACUGAGCAGUAACUUGAACAUAGGAGACCGCAAAGCCUGCCCUGACAGUGACACAUUUCCUCUAAGAAGGCCACAUCUACUCCAACAAGGUCACAUCUCCUAACUCACUUUGCCCAGACAUCUUAGUUACUUUUCUAUUGCCAUGACAAAACAACAUGACCAAAGCUGUUUAUAAAAGAGAGUAGUUAAUUGAGGAUCACAGUUCCAGAAGGUAGUAGAGUCCUUGACCAUCAUGGUGGGGACCAUGGCAGCAAGCAGUCAUGGCACUGGAGCAGUAACUAAGAGCCAACUAAGAUCCACAAGCAUGAGACAGGAAGAGCAAGGUAACUUCUGAAACCUCAAGACUCACCCACAAUGAUACACCUCCUCCAGCAAGGCUGUGCCUUCUAAUUUUUUCCCAAACAGUUCCAGCUUCAGACCAAGCAUUCAAACAUAUAAGACUGUGGGGAACUGCUCUCAUUCAAACCACCAGACCAGGGCUUUUAGAAUUUAGUAAAUGCUCAACCACUGUGCUAUACCCCAUUGCUUGGUGUUUGUUCUUUCAAACUUAUAUUGUCUUAUGACACACGGAUAAUGUUAGCAAGUUAGUAGUGAGUUAACGUGACCCAUAGACAGUCUAUAUUUACUCAGAUUUCUCUUGGAUCUUCAAGAUGGGAACUUUCAUCCUGUUUUGUGUAAGCCAGUCUAAUUUCAGACAAAUCUGAGUUUGAAUCCUGACUUUUCUGCCAUUGUUUGACGAUCAUAUUAUUUCCUUCCUUUGAGACACAGAUUCCAUACAAAUGAAAGGGAGAAGAUGCAAACCCUCACUGCUCAGAGUUUUGUGAGGCAUAACUAGGCUGAUAUAUGUAAAAUGUUUGGCAAAGAGGCCUAUAUAGUGAAAUUGGCCUUGGUAUAAAUGAGCUAUUUUCUGGAUGAGAGGACAAGAGAUGUUGCAGAGAAUUAUUCUUUUUUUAAAUUUUAAACAUAAUUUUUAUCGAUUCUUUGGGAAUUUCUCAUCAAGCACCCUAAUCCCACUCUUUUCCCAGUUCCUCUGUAGCCAUACCCUUUACCCUUUUAGCAUUUGCUCCCAAAAGGAAAACCUAAAAAAAGAUAAAAAUACAAAAUAAAAAGGAGAAUAUUAAUUCAAACAAGCAAAAAGCAACAACAAAAAGCAAAAACAGUUUUACUUGCAAAUGGUCAUUGUGUAAUGUGUUUUUGGUCAGGUUCAGGGCCUCUGGCUUCUGGUACACCCUCAAUGCUGGACCCUCCCGAUGUCCUCUCAGACAUCCUGCUGUUGCCCCGAGUCAUGGAGAUGCUGCAGCCAUGGUUCUGCAGUCCCUUCACAGACUCAUGAGUCAUGAGACUAUGACUCAGCAGGUCAUAGAUGGGGUAGAUGUUGAGGAGUACCUGCUCAAAGCCCCGAACGUGGAUGUCUCAGUGGCAGCUGAGUUGAUCAGUCAGGGCUACUAGGACCACCCUGCUCAGGUGAGGGGAGGAGUCAGCUCACCCACACGUGCCGUGAGGUCACCCGUGUGAUAGCGUGGACAAUGAACAUUAACCAAGACCCCAGCUGCAUUAGGACCAUGGACCUAGCCAUGGCCAACAGCAGCAGCUUGGGUCCUGUUGUCACUGUGGCCCCCAGUGGCAGUGCAGGGCACCGACAACCAGUUUUCAAGGAUGUGGCAUCAUCUGAGACUUGCCUCCUCAGCUCUGUUCUGGCAACCUUUAGUCAGAUGUGAGUUGAAAAACUCUGCUCACUUUGUGUUUAGGUGUUGUUUGUUUGUUUCUGCUGUUGUUAUUGCUUUGAGACAGGGUCUUGCUCUCUUGUGCGAGCCUGCCUAAGGCUCCUGAACAUUGAGGUCAUAGGCAUAAGACCACAUACCACACCUGACUCUACAGAAUCAUAAAGAUUAUGAUGGCGUCUCAAUCAAAACAAUUUCUCUGAGCGUUUCUUUUUCCCUGUUUAGAUUAGAGAACUCUACAGACGUGCUGCAGUUAUAACAUGCUGGGAGAAGACGAGACCAUGAUGAUUUAAAACCAGCAGGGCCGAGUUCCAGCACUGAUGAGGUGGACAGCCAGGAGGAUUGCAAGAUAGAGGGUAACUUUGGAUACAUGAAUUUCUCCUAAUGAAUACAUGAAACAGAAGUGACAGAGUGCAAUUUUAAAGACGAGGUCCUCAGAGGUGGCCUGGCUUGUUCUGAGCUUUCUUUUCUAGAAGGAAGUUAAUUUGCCAUGUCAUGGGGCCACUUCAAGUACCUGAGGACAGGCCUGCGUGGUGAGGGCAUGAAACCUCCUGUCAACAACAUGGAAAGGAGUCAUUCUGGAAGCAGAUUCUCUGUCACCAUUCAAACCUAAGAUGAUAAAAGACUUGGUUAUGUCUGAAA